RNAcentral lists this ribosomal RNA (1557 nucleotides) under Staphylococcus aureus. RNAcentral's name for it is "16S ribosomal RNA". It matches the Rfam family "Bacterial small subunit ribosomal RNA". The record is from RNAcentral. Lineage: Bacteria; Bacillati; Bacillota; Bacilli; Caryophanales; Staphylococcaceae.
UUUUAUGGAGAGUUUGAUCCUGGCUCAGGAUGAACGCUGGCGGCGUGCCUAAUACAUGCAAGUCGAGCGAACGGACGAGAAGCUUGCUUCUCUGAUGUUAGCGGCGGACGGGUGAGUAACACGUGGAUAACCUACCCAUAAGACUGGGAUAACUUCGGGAAACCGGAGCUAAUACCGGAUAAUAUUUUGAACCGCAUGGUUCAAAAGUGAAAGACGGUCUUGCUGUCACUUAUGGAUGGAUCCGCGCUGCAUUAGCUAGUUGGUAAGGUAACGGCUUACCAAGGCAACGAUGCAUAGCCGACCUGAGAGGGUGAUCGGCCACACUGGAACUGAGACACGGUCCAGACUCCUACGGGAGGCAGCAGUAGGGAAUCUUCCGCAAUGGGCGAAAGCCUGACGGAGCAACGCCGCGUGAGUGAUGAAGGUCUUCGGAUCGUAAAACUCUGUUAUUAGGGAAGAACAUAUGUGUAAGUAACUGUGCACAUCUUGACGGUACCUAAUCAGAAAGCCACGGCUAACUACGUGCCAGCAGCCGCGGUAAUACGUAGGUGGCAAGCGUUAUCCGGAAUUAUUGGGCGUAAAGCGCGCGUAGGCGGUUUUUUAAGUCUGAUGUGAAAGCCCACGGCUCAACCGUGGAGGGUCAUUGGAAACUGGAAAACUUGAGUGCAGAAGAGGAAAGUGGAAUUCCAUGUGUAGCGGUGAAAUGCGCAGAGAUAUGGAGGAACACCAGUGGCGAAGGCGACUUUCUGGUCUGUAACUGACGCUGAUGUGCGAAAGCGUGGGGAUCAAACAGGAUUAGAUACCCUGGUAGUCCACGCCGUAAACGAUGAGUGCUAAGUGUUAGGGGGUUUCCGCCCCUUAGUGCUGCAGCUAACGCAUUAAGCACUCCGCCUGGGGAGUACGACCGCAAGGUUGAAACUCAAAGGAAUUGACGGGGACCCGCACAAGCGGUGGAGCAUGUGGUUUAAUUCGAAGCAACGCGAAGAACCUUACCAAAUCUUGACAUCCUUUGACAACUCUAGAGAUAGAGCCUUCCCCUUCGGGGGACAAAGUGACAGGUGGUGCAUGGUUGUCGUCAGCUCGUGUCGUGAGAUGUUGGGUUAAGUCCCGCAACGAGCGCAACCCUUAAGCUUAGUUGCCAUCAUUAAGUUGGGCACUCUAAGUUGACUGCCGGUGACAAACCGGAGGAAGGUGGGGAUGACGUCAAAUCAUCAUGCCCCUUAUGAUUUGGGCUACACACGUGCUACAAUGGACAAUACAAAGGGCAGCGAAACCGCGAGGUCAAGCAAAUCCCAUAAAGUUGUUCUCAGUUCGGAUUGUAGUCUGCAACUCGACUACAUGAAGCUGGAAUCGCUAGUAAUCGUAGAUCAGCAUGCUACGGUGAAUACGUUCCCGGGUCUUGUACACACCGCCCGUCACACCACGAGAGUUUGUAACACCCGAAGCCGGUGGAGUAACCUUUUAGGAGCUAGCCGUCGAAGGUGGGACAAAUGAUUGGGGUGAAGUCGUAACAAGGUAGCCGUAUCGGAAGGUGCGGCUGGAUCACCUCCUUUCUAA